Molecule: long non-coding RNA, 1026 nt
Organism: Hemicordylus capensis (graceful crag lizard)
Lineage: Eukaryota; Metazoa; Chordata; Lepidosauria; Squamata; Cordylidae
Exons: 3
Source: RefSeq, a predicted model, not a curated record
UGUGCUCCAAGACAAGGGGUCUGAAGAAAAGAAGAAAUAAUGAUUGUCUUUUGCUAAAAUCAUGUUGUCUCUAUGUUCUGUUUCCAAGUUCAAAACUGCUAACAGUCUAAAUUUCUUGAUGCCACUGUCCUGUUGUAACCAAGCCAAAAGAUAACACUGUUCUAGCUGCAAAAAGUUUCUCUAAACAAAAGGCUGCCUUUGUUCUCUCCCCCCCACUCUCUUCAACUGCUGGCAGUUGGAAAAGAGGAAAGAAAAUGGAGUUUUGAAGGAAUGCAUAUGGGAAUUGCAGACAAAAGAAAAAAAAAAACUAGAAGGAGACACGUAAAAGGAUUUUGGUUGGAGGUUGUUAACAACAACAAAAAGAAAAAUGCUUGAAAAGCACCACAGCUGAAUCUUAAAAUCCCAGACAUGAGAUUUGAUGAAAGGAAUUUUGUUUUGCCAAUCCUGCAAGUGGCAAGGAGUUCCAAAGCACCAGUUUGCAAUUCACCUUGGAAAUUUCCCAGAAGACCAAGAACAGGCUUGCUUGCAAGAUGUGGACUGCAUUUAUGCCAAGCCGUCCUGAUCUUAAAGAUCAACCUCUCCAAAAUGCAGACAUUGAUUUGUACACAGAUGGAGGCAGCUUCAUGUAAGAUGGACAAUGUAAGCUGGCUAUGGAGUAGUGACUGACCAUGAAGUUCUGGUGGUGAAAUCUCUUUCUCCAGGUAUCUCAGCACAGCUUGCAGAGCUCAUCACCUUCAAGGUAAUUUUUACACAACUCAUGGGGCCACUUGGAAAGAAAGAAGAUUUUUAAUAGUGGGAAACAAGGAAGUAAAAUAUGGGACACAGAUAUCAGAACUCUAGACUGCUGUUACACUACUAGAAGAGGUUGCAGUCAUCCAUACCAGAGGUCACCAGAGGGAAAUGACCCAGUGACAAAGGGUAAUUGGAUGGCAGAUGCUGCAGCUAAAACCGCUGCUCCUUCUAUUUCUGUUUCCAAGCAUCUUUGAUUCCUGUGCUAACUAUCUUGGCACAACCCCCCCCCCCACA